CGGGAAGUCCAAACUCCUAUUAGGAUGAGCGACAAAGGUCAUUUUGUUGUUAUUGAUGUGGAAGUCGUUGACAGCGUGGGUAAUCGCCACCACCAAAGGAAAUGGAAUAGCAAAAGAAAGAACGAAAAUACACACACAAGCAAAUACGCAACCAGAAAAAAGGUCGGUGGCAUACAAGAUUAAAUCUGAAAAUUCAUUUUCAUUCAGUAAACUCUCUAACUUCAGAAAACAGACAAAGACAUCAGCGAGAAAACGAAGUCAUAUGAAGCAUAACCUUUGCCGGCUGCAGAAGUCGCACCUGGUUUUUCCGGGCUGGAGGAGGCCCGCCUCCCCGCGUCCUUCAAAGCCGCAGGCCUGGCUGCUGCAAGGGCCCAGGGAUCUUCCUCUUGCACCACAAAUGCCAUCACUCCCAUCGCUAAAGGGAGCGAACUGA
Molecule: long non-coding RNA, 433 nt
Filed under: Felis catus (domestic cat)
Lineage: Eukaryota; Metazoa; Chordata; Mammalia; Carnivora; Felidae
Description: lncRNA (ENSFCAG00000046060.2)
Source: RNAcentral